RNAcentral lists this ribosomal RNA (379 nucleotides) under uncultured eukaryote. Its description in RNAcentral is "partial 18S ribosomal RNA". It matches the Rfam family "Eukaryotic small subunit ribosomal RNA", at positions 592 to 975 of the family's 1831-position model. The record is from RNAcentral.
CAAUAGCGUAUAUUAAAGUUGUUGCAGUUAAAAAGCUCGUAGUUGGAUUUGUGGCGUAUGGUGUGUUCCGGGCACUUGUUGUCUGAGUAACUUGCCAUUGCCAUCCUUGGGUGGAACCUGUGUGGCAUUAGGUUGUCGUGCAGGGGAUGCCCAUCGUUUACUGUGAAAAAAUUAGAGUGUUCAAGGCAGGCUUAUGCCGUUGAAUAUAUUAGCAUGGAAUAAUAAGAUAGGACUUUUUUGCUAUUUUGUUGGUUUGCGCGAGAAGGUAAUGAUUAAUAGGGAUAGUUGGGGGUAUUCGUAUUCCAUUGUCAGAGGUGAAAUUCUUGGAUUUUUGGAAGACGAACUACUGCGAAAGCAUUUACCAAGGAUGUUUUCAUUA